UACGGAGGGAGCUAGCGUUAUUCGGAAUUACUGGGCGUAAAGCGCACGUAGGCGGCUUUGUAAGUUAGAGGUGAAAGCCUGGAGCUCAACUCCAGAACUGCCUUUAAGACUGCAUCGCUUGAAUCCAGGAGAGGUGAGUGGAAUUCCGAGUGUAGAGGUGAAAUUCGUAGAUAUUCGGAAGAACACCAGUGGCGAAGGCGGCUCACUGGACUGGUAUUGACGCUGAGGUGCGAAAGCGUGGGGAGCAAAAGGG
RNAcentral lists this ribosomal RNA (253 nucleotides) under uncultured bacterium. RNAcentral describes it as "partial 16S ribosomal RNA". It matches the Rfam family "Bacterial small subunit ribosomal RNA", at positions 524 to 776 of the family's 1533-position model. The record is from RNAcentral.